CAGUUCAUUAUAAAAGAGUUUCAACCAGAAGCUGUGCCAUUACCAAGACCUGUAGGAGUGAAGAGGAACACGUGAGAACAAGAAGUUCAUGAAGAUAAAACCAAGAGGCAUCACAUUCUCAAGUCUGCCGACUAUAUCAGAAGUCAAGAACAUCUUCAUCAGUUCAUCCACUUGUUCUACAUUUUAAAAAGUCACCUGCAAUGGAAACUGAGGAAAAUUUGACCACAACUCAUUAUGCAAAUAAUAGGGUUUUUUUUAAUUCCGCAACCACAGUAUUUAAUGUCUACUCAUGUAUCAUCUUAAGCAUUGAAUCUCCCUUCCUUUGUUUGGCCAUUUACACAGUUUUCUUUCUCAACAAAUCUGGUCAAGGAGCUCCGGUAUUUGCCAUAAAUUUACUCAUUUCAGACCUCAUACAGACUUUUAGCAUUAUCCUAGUUUAUUUCGGGAUAAUAUAUGCUAGUAUAUAUACUAUAUUUGCUCUGAUUCCUUUUGCUGUGUCUUUUUUGGCUUCUCUGUAUUUCAUGACAUGUAUUGCUGUAGAAAGAUAUCUUCUGAUUGCCCAUCCGAUUUGGUACAGACAGCGUCACCCAGUCAAAUGUCUCGUCUGUACUUCUCUGACUGGCUGGUUGCUAUCGUGCAUUUUAUAUUUGUUUUUGGGGGGAUACCUGAUAUUAAUCAUAGCUCUCUCUUACUACCUGGUGAUAGUUUUCUGUUUCGUAGGUGCAUGCAGGGCUCUCUCUCAGUCACAGUCGAUCACUUCUAUAAAGAGACGAUUGGUUAUAGCGACUCUGCUAUUUGUACUGCUGAGUUACACGUUUACCAUCCUUCCUUAUGUUAUUACAUCUUUUUUAGAUUAUUAUUUUGAUUCUAUGAUCCUUUACCAUACAACGAAAAUUGCAAUGGCUUUUUUUCUGUUAAACCCGAUGGUGGAUUGUUUGUUGUAUGUGUUCAUGAGGUCUGAUGCCGGGGAUGCUUUCAGGACGCCUCACUGCUGUUCCAGAAGAAGAGAAAAUCAGAAUGAAACUCAGCUCACAAACUUAACCGGUGUACGCAGUCAUCAUGUGUGAUUACAGUGAUAUUAUUAUUGUUAACAAAUAGUUCAGUGCAUAUUUCACCUGAUAGUAUGCACAUGACAGCAGUCACAUAUGUUUGUGAGCAUGGUCCUAAAAUUGUGUAAUGCAUUUGUACUGUAAUGCUGUGAUCGUAUCUGUUGUGGUAUUAUGCCUUAUGGACAUCACUUAGUUGUAAGUGGUUUAUCAAUAUGUCAGUGUGGUCAUGAUAUUUGCAUGUGUAAAUUAUCUUAAAGUGAAGAAAACAUUUGUGAAUAAUGUUAUCAAAUAAGAAGUCCCACUUGUAAUCUAUUAACAGUUCAAUACAUUUAAUUUAAUAACUUUAAUUUUUAAAGUGCACCUAUUUCAUUUCUAAAAAACAACAUUAUUUUGUGUAUUUGGUAUAAUAUGUGUUUGCAUGGUUUAUGGUGCAAAAACACAUACCGUACAUUUUUUGUAGCUCCAGAUAUACUGCUUUCCUCACAAUGCACUGAUUUUGUACAAAACUCGUCGAUUUGAAAAGCGCUGUGUCACUGAUUGGCCAGCUAAUCUGUACUUUGUGAUUGGCUUGAAUACCUCUGACGUCAGCUAGAAAUGUGACGCUCCUUACCAUGUUUGAAAGAUUCGCUCACAAUGCAAUGCUAACAGGAGUUAACUUACAGGCUGUGAGUCCGAAGCGGGAGGAAUUAUGAUAAUGUCGGUCUUUACUACAUCACCAAUACCAGGGAGUAAACUGUUGCCUACAAUCUGUGUGUUUGUUGUAGUCCAAGAAAAGAGAUUUAUGUUGGAAAUGAUAACUUGCGUCAUCGUUUACUUCAGAGUUUUUACCUUUUGCAUAUCACUAACAUGUACUAAUACACACUUACACACCAAAGGAAAUGUAAAAUCAUGAAUGGGACCAUUGGUGCUCUUUAAAUAAUGUAUUUAUUAAUCCAUUAAUAUUUGUCUUUUAUGUGUAUAUUAUUAUUCUACAUGUCUACAAUAAUAACUGAUAUUAUCAUCAUCACGCAUCCUUACAUCCCUGAAGACAGGGUAAAAUAGUUAUCAUCACUGGUUAUUUAAAUUAGAAAUGUAAUCUUCCUAUUGACGUCUUUUAUUGAUGUUUGUCGAAAUAAUAAAUAAAUCUGAUAAUUCACUCAG
Long non-coding RNA from Paramisgurnus dabryanus, 2189 nucleotides. RefSeq lists it as uncharacterized. The record is from RefSeq and is a predicted model, not a curated record. Lineage: Eukaryota; Metazoa; Chordata; Actinopteri; Cypriniformes; Cobitidae.